AUAAAGACUAUGAUUAGGAAAAGUACUUGUUUUGAUAUCUAAAGAGAGUAGUUGUUUGGUGCAAAGCUAUGAUUAGAAGUAAGGAAAAUCACCUAUGAGUUGGAGGCUGAAGUUCUAGUAAGCUUAUCCCGUUAGCCUGCGUUAAAGGAUAGAGUAUGUUUGUACUCGAAAUUACGACUACCCAUGUUUUAAUAGGGGUAGGGUAUAACCUUAGGUGGUAUAGCGAAUGUAACUUCGUCCUUUAG
This 245-nucleotide non-coding RNA is filed under the name Clostridium cavendishii. RNAcentral's name for it is "T-box sequence". It matches the Rfam family "T-box leader". Rfam says of the family: Uncharged tRNA acts as the effector for transcription antitermination of genes in the T-box leader family. T-boxes are found upstream of many aminoacyl-tRNA synthetase genes and some amino acid biosynthetic genes usually in Gram-positive bacteria. The record is from RNAcentral. Lineage: Bacteria; Bacillati; Bacillota; Clostridia; Eubacteriales; Clostridiaceae.